UGAUGCGAGUUACUCUNUGUAGUAUUGCUUGUACAUACUUUUACAUUUAUUCGCAAGAUGUUGUCGGCGUGCACUUCUCCCCUAGUAGAACGUCGCGACCCGUUGGGUGUUGGUCUACGACCCGNGUGGGAGCCUUUAAUAUUUUNAUAAUAUUGAAGACCCUNGGUGUUUUCUGACCGGCUGCC
RNAcentral lists this ribosomal RNA (185 nucleotides) under Heterospilus sp. MAS-2010. RNAcentral describes it as "partial 28S ribosomal RNA". Lineage: Eukaryota; Metazoa; Arthropoda; Insecta; Hymenoptera; Braconidae. The record is from RNAcentral.